UACGAAGGGGGCUAGCGUUGUUCGGAGUUACUGGGCGUAAAGGGCGCGUAGGCGGCGCACCAAGUCAGGCGUGAAAGCCCUGGGCUCAACCCGGGAAUUGCGCUUGAGACUGGUGUGCUUGAGUACGGGAGAGGAUAGUGGAAUUCCCAGUGUAGAGGUCAAAUUCGUAGAUAUUGGGAAGAACACCGGUGGCGAAGGCGGCUCACUGGCCCGAAACUGACGCUCAUGCACGACAGCGUGGGGAUCAAACAGG
RNAcentral lists this ribosomal RNA (253 nucleotides) under uncultured bacterium. RNAcentral describes it as "partial 16S ribosomal RNA". It matches the Rfam family "Bacterial small subunit ribosomal RNA", at positions 524 to 776 of the family's 1533-position model. The record is from RNAcentral.